RNAcentral lists this small RNA (18 nucleotides) under Arabidopsis thaliana (thale cress). RNAcentral describes it as "ATSL118870". The record is from RNAcentral. Lineage: Eukaryota; Viridiplantae; Streptophyta; Magnoliopsida; Brassicales; Brassicaceae.
CGCAGAAGACGGCAUAGG